AAAGGUAGCAUAAUCAUUAGGGAUUUAAUUGGAACCUGGAAUGAAGGGUUGGACAAAGGAAAAACUGUCUUUAUAAUAAAAGUUGAAAUUUACUUUUAAGUGAAAAGGCUUAAAUAUAUCAAAGGGACGAUAAGACCCUAUAAAGCUUUAUAAAUAAUUUAAAUUUGGUUAAUAUAAAAAGUAAAGAAUAAAUUUGGUUGUUUUAUUUCAUUGGGGUGAUGUGAGUAUAAUUAUUGUUAACUGCUUAAAUAUAAUACUAUUAUAAAAGAAUUAUAAUAUUUAUGAUCCUUUUUAAAGAUUAAAAGAUCAAGUUACUUUAGGGAUAACAGCGUUAUUUCUUUUGAGAGUUCUUAUCGAAAAAGAAGAUUGCGACCUCGAUGUUGAAUUAAAAUAUCUAUAUAAUGCAGUCGUUAUAAAAGAGGGUCUGUUCGACCUUUAAAUU
RNAcentral lists this ribosomal RNA (442 nucleotides) under Liocarpilodes integerrimus. Its description in RNAcentral is "partial 16S ribosomal RNA". The stretch from base 322 to 442 matches the Rfam family "Bacterial large subunit ribosomal RNA", at positions 2473 to 2594 of the family's 2925-position model. Lineage: Eukaryota; Metazoa; Arthropoda; Malacostraca; Decapoda; Xanthidae. The record is from RNAcentral.